RNAcentral lists this ribosomal RNA (468 nucleotides) under uncultured bacterium. Its description in RNAcentral is "partial 16S ribosomal RNA". It matches the Rfam family "Bacterial small subunit ribosomal RNA", at positions 28 to 507 of the family's 1533-position model. The record is from RNAcentral.
GACGAACGCUGGCGGCGUGCUUAACACAUGCAAGUCGAACGGAAAGGCCCUGCUUUUGUGGGGUGCUCGAGUGGCGAACGGGUGAGUAACACGUGAGUAACCUGCCCUUGACUUUGGGAUAACUUCAGGAAACUGGGGCUAAUACCGGAUAGGAGCUCCUGCUGCAUGGUGGGGGUUGGAAAGUUUCGGCGGUUGGGGAUGGACUCGCGGCUUAUCAGCUUGUUGGUGGGGUAGUGGCUUACCAAGGCUUUGACGGGUAGCCGGCCUGAGAGGGUGACCGGCCACAUUGGGACUGAGAUACGCCCCAGACUCCUACGGGAGGCAGCAGUGGGGAAUAUUGCACAAUGGGCGGAAGCCUGAUGCAGCAACGCCGCGUGCGGGAUGACGGCCUUCGGGUUGUAAACCGCUUUCGCCUGUGACGAAGCGUGAGUGACGGUAAUGGGUAAAGAAGCACCGGCUAACUACGUG